RNAcentral lists this ribosomal RNA (833 nucleotides) under uncultured bacterium. RNAcentral's name for it is "bacterial SSU rRNA". It matches the Rfam family "Bacterial small subunit ribosomal RNA", at positions 56 to 888 of the family's 1533-position model. The record is from RNAcentral.
UGCAGUCGAGGGGCAGCAUGAGGUAGCAAUACCUUGAUGGCGACCGGCGCACGGGUGAGUAACGCGUAUGCAACCUGCCCGAUACCGGGGUAUAGCCCAUGGAAACGUGGAUUAACACCCCAUAGUACUUUUAUCCUGCCUGGGAUGGGAGUUAAAUGUUCAAGGUAUCGGAUGGGCAUGCGUCCUAUUAGUUAGUUGGCGGGGUAACAGCCCACCAAGACGAUGAUAGGUAGGGGUUCUGAGAGGAAGGUCCCCCACAUUGGAACUGAGACACGGUCCAAACUCCUACGGGAGGCAGCAGUGAGGAAUAUUGGUCAAUGGACGUAGGUCUGAACCAGCCAAGUCGCGUGAGGGAAGACUGCCCUAUGGGUUGUAAACCUCUUUUAUAAGGGAAGAAUAAGUUCUACGUGUAGAAUGAUGCCUGUACCUUAUGAAUAAGCAUCGGCUAACUCCGUGCCAGCAGCCGCGGUAAUACGGAGGAUGCGAGCGUUAUCCGGAUUUAUUGGGUUUAAAGGGUGCGUAGGCGGUUUAUUAAGUUAGUGGUUAAAUAUUUGAGCUAAACUCAAUUGUGCCAUUAAUACUGGUGAACUGGAGUACAGACGAGGUAGGCGGAAUAAGUUAAGUAGCGGUGAAAUGCAUAGAUAUAACUUAGAACUCCGAUAGCGAAGGCAGCUUACCAGACUGUAACUGACGCUGAUGCACGAGAGCGUGGGUAGCGAACAGGAUUAGAUACCCUGGUAGUCCACGCCGUAAACGAUGCUCACUGGUUCUGUGCGAUAUAUUGUACGGGAUUAAGCGAAAGUAUUAAGUGAGCCACCUGGGGAGUACGUCGG